UACGGAGGAUGCGAGCGUUAUCCGGAUUUAUUGGGUUUAAAGGGUGCGUAGGCGGACUGUUAAGUCAGCGGUAAAAGCCCGGGGCUCAACCCCUUCCCGCCAUUGAAACUGGCGUUCUUGAGUGGAAGAGAAGUAUGCGGAAUGCGCGGUGUAGCGGUGAAAUGCAUAGAUAUCGCGCAGAACUCCGAUUGCGAAGGCAGCAUACCGGCGCCCAACUGACGCUGAAGCACGAAAGCGUGGGUAUCGAACAGG
This 252-nucleotide ribosomal RNA is filed under the name uncultured Bacteroidales bacterium. RNAcentral's name for it is "partial 16S ribosomal RNA". It matches the Rfam family "Bacterial small subunit ribosomal RNA", at positions 524 to 776 of the family's 1533-position model. Lineage: Bacteria; Pseudomonadati; Bacteroidota; Bacteroidia; Bacteroidales. The record is from RNAcentral.